RNAcentral lists this ribosomal RNA (179 nucleotides) under Giardia duodenalis. RNAcentral describes it as "Giardia intestinalis partial 18S small subunit ribosomal RNA". The record is from RNAcentral. Lineage: Eukaryota; Fornicata; Diplomonadida; Hexamitidae.
UAUGACGCUCUCCCCAAGGACACAAGCCAUGCAUGCCCGCACACCCGGGAAGCGGCGGACGGCUCAGGACAACGGUUGCACCCCCCGCGGCGGUCCCUGCUAGCCGGACACCGCUGGCAACCCGGCGCCAAGACGUGCGCGCAAGUGCGGACGCCCGCGGGCGAGCAGCGUGACGCAGA